AGUGAACGCUGGCGGUAGGCCUAACACAUGCAAGUCGAACGGCAGCACAGUAAGAGCUUGCUCUUACGGGUGGCGAGUGGCGGACGGGUGAGGAAUACAUCGGAAUCUACUUUUUCGUGGGGGAUAACGUAGGGAAACUUACGCUAAUACCGCAUACGACCUACGGGUGAAAGCAUGGGAUCUUCGGACCUUGCGCGAUUGAAUGAGCCGAUGUCGGAUUUGCUAGUUGGCGGGGUAAAGGCCCACCCAGGCGGCGAUCCGUAGCCGGUCUGAGAGGAUGAUCAGCCACACUGGAACUGAGACACGGUCCAGACUCCUACGGGAGGCAGCAGUGGGGAAUAUUGGACAAUGGGCGCAAGCCUGAUCCAGCCAUACCGCGUGGGUGAAGAAGGCCUUCGGGUUGUAAAGCCCUUUUGUUGGGAAAGAAAAGCAGCAGGUUAAUACCCCGCUGUUCUGACGGUACCCAAAGAAUAAGCACCGGCUAACUUCGUG
Molecule: ribosomal RNA, 492 nt
Filed under: uncultured bacterium
Lineage: Bacteria
Description: partial 16S ribosomal RNA
Rfam family: Bacterial small subunit ribosomal RNA
Source: RNAcentral